UGUGUUCAGGAUUAUUUGCUCUGUCAGUAGUGCCCAGGGUGCCACUCCAUGACUAACCGAAACAUUUUAUUAUGUGACUCACUAAGAUGUUCAAUUCAUUAGUAUUUUCUGGUUACUCAAAGUGUACUCUAUGUACCUUUUUUUGACCUUUGAUUUUUAUUCUGAUGGAGAAGAUCAGAUUCCUUUUUUAUCUUAUAAAAAAUAAUUUUGAAACAAAGACUUAUUUUGAAGUAAGUCUUUUAACAUUAUCUCAGAUGCAUUUUAUUUUGUCCUUAAGUAAGACUUUUCAUUUUUACCUUUCAAAAUGCAAUUUUCAAAAUAUAUGCUUUUUUGAAACACUUAUUAUGUUACUGAAUAACCAGAGUAUUAAAUUCAAUGUACAGCAAAUUUUUACAAAGUCCCAGUAGUUCUUGCAGAGCUUUCUAUAAUAUCAGAUUUAUUUACCAUCAUGAAAUAUGUUUAUACAGUAUUAAGUAUAUUGUACUAUGAAGUUGGACCUGCACACUGAAAAAUUCCAAAAUACCUAUUAUGUUGUGCUUUUUGUGAUAUAUAUUCAUAUUAUUAUUUGUCAUAACAAGGUGAACUUUUUUAAAAUGGUAAACAUGUAUUAGUUACAUAAUCAGGAAAAAAGUCAUCUUUUAUAAUGAGAAAAAUUAGGUCAAGGAUAUUUCAGGUUUUAUCCAAUUAGAUUUCUUGUAAAGUUAUGUGUUUUCUUUUAUCUCAGUGCUUAUUUGCUUUGCAAGGAUGAAGGUUAGAGAUUCCUUUCAGUAGUUAAUGAAAGCUACAGACUUGUCUUGCCGAAAAAUGUACAUAAACACAUAAACUAUUUUCCAAGCAGUUUCACAGUGUUUGCAAAGUUCAGAUUGAAAACCCAGUUUUACAAAUCCCAUCUACAAAUUUGCAUUGUCAUUAAGAUAUAUUAAAAAUAAUUUUUCAAAGCAACAGCACAGAUGCACUUUAAAACUGUAGCUUAAAAAUAAAAAUUAGUAAUAUAACUUGUGUAAACCUACACAAAAGAUAAAAGAUAUCUUAUUGCAAAAAUAGGGCAACAUUUUGUUUUAAAGACCAAAUAGUGAAUUGAAUUUAAUGCAUAUCUUUAAAUCCUUAAUAGUAUCUCAAAUCUGGUUUAAAUCUGUCUCUCCUUAACGGAAUAGAAAGUGAAACAAAUCCAGAAAUCUUGUUCGAGUACAUGGUCUGUGCUAGUAAUCAUAUCUAAAGUGGUAAUGUUACCAUAUGCUGGGUACUGGGCUGAGUAAAUCACAUAUUUUAACUUAUUUAAACACUGCACUGUAUUGCCUGCUAGCGAUGUCAUUUUUUUAAAGUUGGAUGGUGAAUACAUGAGUUGUUUUUUAAACUCUUUUGGGAGCCUAAAAAAUUUGAAUUUUUUUUUUUCCCCCCCCAGACGGAGUCUCGCUCUCUUGCCAGGCUGGAGUGCAGUGACAUUAUCUUGGCUCACUGCAGCCUCUGAUUCCCUGGUUCAAGCAAUUCUCCUGCCUCAGCCUCCCGAGUAGCUGGGAUUACAGGCAUCCACCACCACGUCCAGCUAAUUUUUGUAUUUUUAGUAGAGACGGGGUUUCACCAUGUUGGCCAGGAUGGGAAAAUUUUUUAAAAGACAUUUAUUAAAAAAAAAUGUCUAUGCCUUAUCAAAGUUUAUAACUCAAGAAUUAAUGAGAUAAACAGUGGACAAAAAGUGUUGGCAGAUAACAUGCAUAAUUUUAAUUAAAAGUUAAGCAGUGAAAAAUAAACAUCUUUUUUUCUU
This 1759-nucleotide long non-coding RNA is filed under the name Homo sapiens (human). RNAcentral describes it as "non-protein coding lnc-CDK14-1:1". Lineage: Eukaryota; Metazoa; Chordata; Mammalia; Primates; Hominidae. The record is from RNAcentral.